GUCUCCGUUGGUGAACCAGCGGAGGGAUCAUUACCGAGUUUACAACUCCCUAACCCCUGUGAACAUACCAUUUGUUGCCUCGGCGGUGCCUGCUUCGGCAGCCCGCCAGAGGACCCAAACCCUUGAUUUUAUACAGUAUCUUCUGAGUAAAUGAUUAAAUAAAUCAAAACUUUCAACAACGGAUCUCUUGGUUCUG
This 196-nucleotide unclassified non-coding RNA is filed under the name plant metagenome. RNAcentral's name for it is "partial contains small subunit ribosomal RNA, internal transcribed spacer 1, and 5.8S ribosomal RNA". The record is from RNAcentral.